Molecule: ribosomal RNA, 207 nt
Filed under: uncultured Bacillota bacterium
Lineage: Bacteria; Bacillati; Bacillota
Description: uncultured Firmicutes bacterium partial 16S ribosomal RNA
Rfam family: Bacterial small subunit ribosomal RNA
Source: RNAcentral
CGCGUAGGCGGGAUUUUAAGUCAGGUGUGAAAACUCUGGGCUCAACCUGGAGAUUGCACUUGAAACUGGAAUUCUUGAGGACAGGAGAGGAAAGUGGAAUUCUUAGUGUAGCGGUGAAAUGCGUAGAUAUUAGGAGGAACACCAGUGGCGAAGGCGACUUUCUGGACUGUAACUGACGCUGAGGCGCGAAAGCGUGGGGAGUGAACG